UCGCGCUGAUCACCGGUGAUCGAUUCUGCGCAGAAUUUGCUCAUCUCAAACAAGCCUACUCAGACAGUUGAACUUGAACAACGUCAUGGCAAACACAGUCCUUUAGAAGCCUACACAGCAAAUUUCAGGAGUUGAAAAAUCAUGAGUUCGGCAAAAAGUUAUUUUUUUAACUCUAACUACACUCUGUGUUAUUGGAUACUCCCGGGCUGUGUUGUAUUUUGGUGUUCAGGUGUGUUUUGGUUUUAACGCUAACGUUACACCUGGAGUUAUUUUUGAGAAGUGCGCCACGACACGACCCUGCAGCUGGACAAAGGAAUAAUGGACUUAUGUGCCUCGUCGUGAGAUACGACUGUCCUGCAGACAACCGGUUGAAGUUACUCCUCCUCAAAUCUGAACCAAAUGGAUUUGCUGAAAUAAAGGCAGUAAAUCAAGAA
Non-coding RNA from Pimephales promelas (fathead minnow), 434 nucleotides. The record is from RefSeq and is a predicted model, not a curated record. NCBI's taxonomy places the organism in Eukaryota, Metazoa, Chordata, Actinopteri, Cypriniformes, Leuciscidae.